ACAUACAGGCGCGCGCUCCGCAACUGACGCACCGCGCGCACAGUAUUGACAAGAAAAGAGUUGUGAAACUUUCUAUCUCGUAAGGAGUUAUGAACGUGAAAUAGUGACACAGACUGGCUACACCAUCUCAUCUGCAGCAGAGAUUGUUGUAUCAGAAGGACAGCGCGUUUGUUUGACGCACUUUUCACUUCAACUGUGUCUGACAGGAGAAUUAGCUUUCUGAGCCUUCUAGCCGUUGAGUUACCAUGGCAACCGCGUACACAUCAGCUGCUGGAGAGGAGAGGACUCGUCUGACAUUUUCUCUGUUUCUCGUCAGUUAUACCAAAGAAAAGGCCAACAACUGCGACAGAUUUUGAUUUCAGGAGUGUCUUAAAAACCCUCUAAAACAGAGGAGAAGUUCCAAGAAAAUGUCUAACGGGACCUGCUGACAGAGAUAGAAAACACAGGUGAUGCUACAAAGCUUAUUAAAUAACUUCAUAUUUAUUUUUUACAAUAUAUCAUCAUGCAUCUGUAAAAUCUAAACAUGUGAAUUCUGGUAUCUAAAGAUUUUUGUAUGUUUUCCAUAUUGCUAUUUUUCUUUUCUGCAUUUCCCCUAUUCUCUAGUUUGUUUAUUUCUAAUAAGGAGCUGGAGGCCGUGAAGAUACAGAUCCAUGAUAUUGUGGAGAAGCAGGCCCAGCUGAGCGAGUGGAGAGCUGUGCUGGAAAUAUUCAGGGGUUGAUGCUCAUAAGUCCAGGGUAAGUAUACAGCUAACCCUACUACCACCUCUACUCUGUGUGGUUCUCUGCAAAGGCCCGGUGUACCCAGGAUGCGAUCUUCCCAGAUGUCCUUCACCCUAUUUCAUAGUGUAAGACAUGAUCCAGGCCCUGGGCGACGACCUCUCUCCAUCCGCCGCCUCCGGUCUUCAGGAUCUCCACCAGAACCCGAUUCGCUCCACUUCGCGAGACAGAACAAAACGCUGUGAUCAUCAGAGACUCCAUCGUCCGGCACGUUUGCGCUAUGUUAGCUGAAGGUAAAGUCCACACUGACUACUUCCCUGGUGCUCAUGUUCUUGAUAUUUCUGCACAGAUUCCCGUGACCCUGAAGAGUGAGGUGGGCAUCAGAGCGGACGGAGACACUGAAGAGGGACUUCAGGAGCCUGAUCAAGACAGUGCGCAGCAUAUCGCCUGCAUGAUGAUCAUCGUGUCAGGACCACUUCCCACGUAUAGAUGAGGACAUGAAAGGCUUUUUAGAUCUCCUGUUGGACAACAUCUCCAGGACACUUCGCUCCAUAUGACUAGGCAGUUUGUGAAAAGAGAUAAUCAAGAGAAGUCAGUUCCAGAUCCACCCUCCACACCAGACCUCUCUCUCACGAGGAUUGCUGUCUACUAGCAUAUUGUGUUCUUCAGCUCUUCAGACUUCGGUGGAUGCAGAUAUUACUCAGGGACAUGAACACUAGAAUAUUGCAAGAAUAGAGAAAAGGGACUUUGCGGGGGAUUCUUGAAAAUAGAUUAGCUUCACACAGACGUCUUCUAACUGUCACAGUACUUACAGGUAACUCCAGACUGUCUUUGAUCAUCCUGGAGGUGAUCAUUGGCUGAGCCUUUGCCAUUCUGGUUAUUCUUCUAUCCAUUUUGAUGGUUGUCUUCCGUUUUCUUCCACGUCUCUCUGGUUUUGCUCUCCAUUUUAAGGCAUUGGAGAUCAUUUUAGCUGAACAGCCUAUCAUUUUUUGCACCUCUUUAUAGGUUUUCCCCUCUCUAAUCAACUUUUUAAUCAAAGUACGCUGUUCUUCUGAACAAUGUCUUGAACGACCCAUUUUCCUCAGCUUUCAAAUGCAUGUUCAACAAGUGUUGGCUUCAUCCUUAAAUAGGGGCCACCUGAUUCACACCUGUUUCUUCACAAAAUUGAUGACCUCAGUGAUUGAAUGCCACACUGCUAUUUUUUUGAACACACCCCUUUCAACUAAUUCAACUAAUUGCCCAAUUGCACAGCCUUAA
Molecule: long non-coding RNA, 1973 nt
Organism: Carassius gibelio (silver crucian carp)
Lineage: Eukaryota; Metazoa; Chordata; Actinopteri; Cypriniformes; Cyprinidae
Exons: 6
Source: RefSeq, a predicted model, not a curated record